UCCAGGUUAACCCUGGCAGUCUCCCUAGAGUGCCCAACUUAAUGCUGGCAACUAAGGAUAGGGGUUGCGCUCGUUGCGAGACUUAACCCAACAUUUCACAACACGAGCUGACGACAGCCAUGCAGCGCCUGUCACCGAAUUCCCCGAAGGGCACUCCUGCAUCUCUGCAAGAUUCUCGGGAUUUCAAACCCAGGUAAGGUUCUGCGCGUUGCUUCGAAUUAAACCACAUGAUCCACCGCUUGUGCGGGCCCCCGUCAAUUCCUUUGAGUUUUAGUCUUGCGACCGUACUUCCCAGGCGGAGUACUUAAUGCGUUAGCUACGUCACGGUAGGGGUUAAUACCUACCACAACUAGUACUCAUCGUUUACGGCGUGGACUAC
This 379-nucleotide unclassified non-coding RNA is filed under the name uncultured Bacteriovoracaceae bacterium. RNAcentral's name for it is "contains 16S-23S intergenic spacer region". The record is from RNAcentral. Lineage: Bacteria; Pseudomonadati; Bdellovibrionota; Bacteriovoracia; Bacteriovoracales; Bacteriovoracaceae.